GUACAAGUGAAAAGGAGCUCCGGGUAAUUCAGGGACAAGGGAGGGAAAACCACACACGCUUAUGAUCACACUCCAGGGAUGAAAACACGGACAGGUCCAGGAAGAUCUAUAUAAAAGAAAACAAGUCAGGAAAAGACAGGAGACGAGAAUUUACAGGAAAUAGCCGGAGCUACACUGACUAGUGUCGUUCAACGAUCCAGCAGUGAGAAACACUGAGCUGUCGUCUUAAGCAGUGGCUCGAGUGACAAGAUAAUGAGCAACAGGUGAGUAAUUAUUUUCAGGGGCCCAGGCCUGAGGGGGGAACCCACAACAAGUUCAACCCCUGCAGAGAAGAGUGAGGGAGAGAGAAAGAAGAGAGAAACAACAACAACAGUGCGAUCUCAGAGGUGAAUGCCGGGGAGACACGGGAAAGCAUGACAGUUUCCGUCAAACACUGGAUUAGUUUGUCUGGCCGUUUUUCAAAGGCAGCUGGAAAACAUGGUUUUUAGAUAUGCUCUACACUAAAAGAUAGAAGAUAAAAAUAUUUCUGUACGGAAUAUAGAUUCCUAAUAACAGCAAGAUUCCUCCUUGUGAAUUCAUAAGUAAAUAUGUCCUGUUGCCUUUGUAACAUGUUUUGGAGCAUUUGUGGACUGUUGGAGUGAAAAACAGUGACUGUCCUGAAGGAGUGUGACUGCUCAUCUGUCUUGUCACACAAGAUCGAAAUUAUGGCCUGUGAGGUUUGUUAUAAUGCUCCAGUUUCUGUGUUACUGACAUUGUAUCAAUAGUUUUGUUUUUUUUAAUUGGAAAAAGAAUGCUGUGUAUAAUUGAAGCUAUUUCGUGUUCUUGGGCUACAUGGUGGUGUGGUGGUUAGCACUGUUGCCUCCUAGCAUGAGUUCAACUCUGCCCCACUGGGGUCUUUUUCUGUGGAGUUUGCAUGUUCUCCUCAUGUUUACGUGGGUUUUGCAUGGGUACUGUGACUUCCUCCCAAUGUCCAAAGAAAUGCAAUUUAUGGUAUCCUGACUAGGAUAAGUGGAAUAGCAUGGAUGAAGAUAACGUUGGUUGUAUCCCUUCUUUUAACUCUGGGUCAAACACACAACAUUCAUUUGAUUUGUGCUCGCGUCUCUGUCCCUCCAGUUUCCCAGCAUGCUCUGGCUGUGGUGGUGGAGGUGAAUGAGGGGGAAAGGUCUGUCCUGCUGUCCUGUCUGUACCCAGAUUAUAUACUUGAGGACAAUUCAACAGUGAUGUGGACUCGCAGUGACCUUGAUCCCAAAUCUGUCCACAUACGACGAGAAAUAGGAGACGAUCUUAGAGGACAAAACCAGCGUUACAGCAGACGCACAUCAAUGAAUCGUUACGCUUUCAUCAUUAAAGACUUCAGCCUCACUCUAAGGAAACCCACAAAGACUGACAGCGGCAACUACACCUGCUCCAUCAGUGCUGGAGGAAAAGAACGGAGACUCAGAGACAUCCAGCUGCAGGUCAAAGAACAGCAAGUGGAGGUGAAGGUGGAGAAAGGGGUACAGUCUGUCAUCCUGCCCUGCAAAACAACACCUGACCUGCCUGAGGACACCACAGUAGAGUGGACUCGCUCUGACCUCGGACUCAUCACAGUCCAUGAGUAUUCUAACAGAAAUGAUGACCUCAUGACUCAGGAUGAAGUUUACAGAGACCGAACGAAGAUGAAUGAAGACCUGCUGAGAACUGGAGACCUCAGUCUGACCCUGAAACAGCCCACAGAGAGAGACAGUGGAGGAUACAUCUGCACCAUCUACAGGGACAAAGACAUCCUGAGACAGAAAGUUGUACUGCAGGUCAAAAAACCAUUUCCAUCCUGGUUCAAAGAUCUUCUGGUUCUCCUGUUUGUCUUUGUGAUUUUUGGAGGUCUUUUAUAUUAUUUACGUCACUAUUACAUGUCAGAUUACCAGGUGGAGGUGGAUUCAGGGGUGGAGUCUGUAAAGCUGCCCUGCAAAACUAUAUUUAAAUUCCUAAAACACACUAAAGUGGAGUGGAGGGACAGAAACAACAGGAAGGUCCACGUGUAUCACAAUGGCUCUGACCAGGUUAGAGAACAGCACCGGUUUUACAGAAACCGAACAGAGAUGAAGAGGAAUUUACUGAAACCUGGAGACCUCAGUCUGACCCUGACGUAUCCCACUGAUGAUGACAACUCCACCUACACCUGCACCGUCUACAGCAGGAAGGGAAACAUACUGGCAACGAAAAAUGUGCAGCUCCAUGUCAGAGUCCCCCAGGUGGAGGUGGAUUCAGGGGAGGCAUCUGUCCUGCUGCCCUGCAAAACUACUAUAAACCUGCUUAAAGAUGCUAAAGUGGAGUGGAUGACCAAAUUCAACAGGAAGGUCCACGUGUAUGAGACCGGAUCUGACCAGCUUGAAGAUCAGGACAACUAUUACAGAAACAGAACACUGAUGAAUAAAGACCUGCUGAAAACUGGAGACCUCAGUCUGACCCUGAAAUACCCCACAGACUGGGACACAGACAUCUACACCUGCACCGUCUACAACAGGGAGGGAAAAAUAAUCCUGAUGAAACAAGUGGAGCUGAAAGUCAGAGUCUGUCAGGUGGAGGUGGAGGAGGGGGCGGAGUCUGUCGAGCUACCUUUCAAAACCACAGAAGACCUGCCUGCAGAUGCUAAAGUGGUGUGGUGGAACAAUGAUGACAGGAAGGUUCACGUGUAUAAGAACGGCUCUGAUCAGCCUGGAGAACAGCACCAGGUUUACAGAGACCGAACGAAGAUGAAGAGAAGAUCUCUGCUGAAGCCUGGAGACCUCAGUCUGACCCUGGAACAGCCCACAGAGAGAGACAGCGGGAGGUACAGCUGUAGAGUCUACGGGGAGAUCAAGAGAUACAAAAGAGUGCUGCUCAUAGUCAAAGGGAGAGUUCAGGUCCAGGAUCAAACAGGGGACAUCAGGAGCAGAAGCAGCUCCAUUGAUCCGACUCCUCUGAUGGCUGAUCAAUCAGUUUGAUCUGUGUGUUCUUUGAUUAUUGAUCAGUGAUGUCAGAGUGGAGUCAGUGUGAUGUUGUUGUUGUGUGUUUGAGACUUUUAGUGUCCAUGAAGGUCUCUGCUGCCGUAGAUCCUCUGAACUGUGACAGAGGUCUCACUCUGGAGGAAACUCUCAGCACUUUCCAGCAGCUCCUCCAUCAUGGAGGACGUUCCCUCACUGUAACAGGUGGAGGAGAGAGGAGAGGAAGCACAGGUGGAUCCUCUGAGGAAGACAUUAAUGUUAUUACAUGAGUGGAAACAUCAUAGUAAAGAUAAAUCUCCAUGUGUACGAUCUCUGAGGCUCAAAUCAGUCCAGUCAGAUCUGUUGUCCCUUCUAUGUAGGGUUGCCAACUAUCCCGUUUUAUCUAGGAUGUCCCGUAAAAUGACCAACAUAGGUUUCUGCAGUAUUCUACCUUAAAUGUCCCGUAUAAUUACCGUUACCUGGAAUGUCAUUUUCUGACUAACAGCUGGCACUCUAACAAAUACCAAAACUGAUUUGACUGCAAUUACAUCAGAAGAGUACUUGUGUGCAGUCACAUCUGUCAGUGAUGCCCAUCACACACACCAGGUGUGAGGAGUAAUACACGAUUCUUAAAAAUAACGUGCUGUUUGGUCUGCGUAACAUAACAUACUGGGUAACUGAGACCUGUACUUACAAUAUUUUCUUUGAAUAUUUUUCUUUUUUGCUUAUUUUUCAAGGUAAUGCACAUGUGAUUUCUAUCAUCAUUUACUGUAUUUUCUUUAUUGAUUUAGAUGAGGUAUUGAUUAAACUGAAUACCAUUAUUUUACUGCAUUUUGACUGUAAGAAUAUGAACAUACAGUGCAUAUUUACACUGUGCCCAGCUGGCUGUGCAUUGUGCUUCUGCCACACCAGUGUCCCUUAUUUGAUAGUUACAAAGUUGGUGACCCUACCUCUACCUCAGUGUGAUUGUUUAUAUAAGACCUGCCCCGGCGCUAUAAAUGCAAGCAAUUUAAUUAUAAUCAGGCAGGUGUACUUAUCUUAUUUUUAUAAUAAUCCCCAUUAAUGUCCCUGUUCAGUCAAGAGAAUAAAA
Molecule: long non-coding RNA, 4032 nt
Organism: Oreochromis aureus
Lineage: Eukaryota; Metazoa; Chordata; Actinopteri; Cichliformes; Cichlidae
Source: Ensembl